GACAGUUGAAGAAGCCGGGUUACCAUUCCUUAAAGCACCACAGUGGGGCAAAGAAAAGGGGCAGUUUUUUUGCUGGAAGACUUCAAACAAAAUCACUGUGAAAAUAUUGAGACUAAAUUUUGACCUUUCUUGAUUUAUGACAUUUAGGUGCCCCGUGCUGGUGGAGGAGACGUGAUAAACCAGCGUAAUGCAUGUUAGCGGUAAAUGCUGUGAUGAAAAAUAGAGUGGCCUGCAGGGAGGCCUCUGAGGAGAUGUUGAAACAGGCCUGAGUGGAGGGAGAGGCUCUGGGAGCAUCUGGGGAGCCAGAAUGCCCAGAAUCUGGUGCGGAGGCCUUGCUGGGGCUGCCAGCCAGGCGUGCUGUCUUCAGGUCUUGUCUCCAGCUCAUCUGUGUGUGUAUCCCGGGCACUCCAGUUACCUUUCUGGUUUGAAGUUCCUAAUCUGAGAAGUCAGAGCUAAGGUUGCUGGUUGUGACUCACUCCAGCAUCAGUGUUUUCAUUACACCGGCGGGUCCUCAGUUUUCCUCCGGGGAUCAGCCACAUGGUGGUCUGUUCCCAUUGUCCCAACUGGGCUUUGAAGGCCACUCAUUGUGAGGUAGCAUGAUGUUUCUCAAUGAAAAAAAAAAAAUCUAAAAAAUAUUUGAGGCUCCUUUGACUG
This is a long non-coding RNA of Canis lupus familiaris (dog), 654 nucleotides long. RefSeq lists it as uncharacterized. The transcript is spliced from 2 exons. The record is from RefSeq and is a predicted model, not a curated record. NCBI's taxonomy places the organism in Eukaryota, Metazoa, Chordata, Mammalia, Carnivora, Canidae.